CUAAACGCCCAAAGCUGUUGUCCAAGACCUUCGGGUUGAGGGUUUCAGUGGAGCGCGUGACCCGAUCUAGUAGUAGUCAAGCGAUGGAGAGACGCAGGAAGGUAGCCUCCGCGUGGCGAUGGUAGUCCACGUCCAAGGGUGUAGGGCGAGCUGUAGGCAAAUCCGCAGCUCACAUAGCCUGAGACCUGAUAGUGACCGCGUAUGCGGGAAGCAGGGUGAUCCUAUGCUGCCAAGAAAAUCUUCUAGCGAGGUUCGAGCCGCCCGUACCCCAAACCGACUCAGGUGGUUAGGUAGAGAAUACCAAGGCGAUCGAGUGAAUCGUGGUUAAGGAAUUCGGCAAAAUACCCCCGUAACUUCGGGAGAAGGGGGGCCCAGAGGGUGAAGGCACUUGCUGCCUAGCCUGAACGGCCGCAGAGACCAGGGAGAAGCGACUGUUUACUAAAAACACAGGUCCGUGCGAAGUCGCAAGACGAUGUAUACGGACUGACGCCUGCCCGGUGCUGGAAGGUUAAGAGGACCGGUUAGUUCUUCGGAGCGAAGCUGAGAAUUUAAGCCCCAGUAAACGGCGGUGGUAACUAUAACC
This 583-nucleotide ribosomal RNA is filed under the name Salmonella enterica. RNAcentral's name for it is "partial 23S ribosomal RNA". It matches the Rfam family "Bacterial large subunit ribosomal RNA", at positions 1397 to 1947 of the family's 2925-position model. The record is from RNAcentral. Lineage: Bacteria; Pseudomonadati; Pseudomonadota; Gammaproteobacteria; Enterobacterales; Enterobacteriaceae.